Molecule: ribosomal RNA, 252 nt
Filed under: uncultured bacterium
Lineage: Bacteria
Description: partial 16S ribosomal RNA
Rfam family: Bacterial small subunit ribosomal RNA
Source: RNAcentral
UACGUAGGGUGCAAGCGUUGUCCGGAAUUAUUGGGCGUAAAGAGCUCGUAGGCGGUUUGUCGCGUCUGCUGUGAAAACCCGAGGCUCAACCUCGGCCUGCAGUGGGUACGGGCAGACUAGAGUGCGGUAGGGGAGAUUGGAAUUCCUGGUGUAGCGGUGGAAUGCACAGAUAUCAGGAGGAACACCAAUGGCGAAGGCAGAUCUCUGGGCCGUAACUGACGCUGAGGAGCGAAAGCGUGGGGAGCGAACAGG